GACGAACACUGGCGGCGCGCUUAACACAUGCAAGUCGAACGGAAAGGCCUGCUUUCCCUUGUGGAUUGCGGGUACUCGAGUGGCGAACGGGUGAGUAACACGUGAGUGAUCUGCCCCCAACUUGGGUAUAAGCCUGGGAAACUGGGUCUAAUUCCCGAUAGGACUGCAGGGUGGUGCCUGUGGUGGAAAACGAUUUUCUAGUGGUUGGGGAUGAGCUCGCGGCCUAUCAGCUUGUUGGUGGGGUAAUGGCCUACCAAGGCGGUGACGGGUAGCCGGCCUGGGAGAGUGGACGGGCACAUUGGGACUGAGAUACGGCCCAGACUCCUACGGGAGGCAGCAGUGGGGAAUAUUGCACAAUGGGCGGAAGCCUGAUGCAGCGACGCCGCGUGGGGGAUGACGGCCUUCGGGUUGUAAACUCCUUUCGACCGCGAGGAAGCCACCUGGUUGGAAGGGUGGUGACGGUAGUGGUAGAAGAAGCACCGGCUAACUACGUG
Molecule: ribosomal RNA, 494 nt
Filed under: uncultured bacterium
Lineage: Bacteria
Description: partial 16S ribosomal RNA
Rfam family: Bacterial small subunit ribosomal RNA
Source: RNAcentral